This 365-nucleotide ribosomal RNA is filed under the name uncultured bacterium. RNAcentral's name for it is "bacterial SSU rRNA". It matches the Rfam family "Bacterial small subunit ribosomal RNA", at positions 108 to 508 of the family's 1533-position model. The record is from RNAcentral.
GAGAACGCGUGAGAAUCUGCCCUCAGGAGGGGGAUAACGGUUGGAAACGACCGCUAAUACCCCAUAUGCCGCGAGGUGAAAUGAAUUUCGCCUGAGGAUGAGCUCGCGUCUGAUUAGUUAGUUGGUGGGGUAAAGGCCUACCAAGACAUCGAUCAGUAGCUGGUCUGAGAGGAUGAUCAGCCACACUGGGACUGAGACACGGCCCAGACUCCUACGGGAGGCAGCAGUGGGGAAUUUUCCGCAAUGGGCGAAAGCCUGACGGAGCAACGCCGCGUGAGGGAUGAAGGCCUCUGGGCUGUAAACCUCUUUUGUCAAGGAAGAAGAUCUGACGGUACUUGAUGAAUAAGCCACGGCUAAUUCCGUGC